UACGUAGGGUGCGAGCGUUAACCGGAAUUACUGGGCGUAAAGCGUGCGUAGGCGGUUCUCCAAGUCCGUUGUGAAAGCCCCGGGCUCAACCUGGGAAUGGCAGUGGAAACUAGGGGACUGGAAUCUGGCAGAGGGGGGUGGAAUGCCGCGUGUAGCAGUGAAAUGCGUAGAGAUGCGGCGGAACACCGAUGGCGAAGGCAGCCCCCUGGGCUGAGAUUGACGCUCAGGCACGAAAGCGUGGGGAGCAAACAGG
This 253-nucleotide ribosomal RNA is filed under the name uncultured bacterium. Its description in RNAcentral is "partial 16S ribosomal RNA". It matches the Rfam family "Bacterial small subunit ribosomal RNA", at positions 524 to 776 of the family's 1533-position model. The record is from RNAcentral.